GCUGGGUGUGGUAGUGCAUGCCUGUAGUCCCAGCUACUGGGGAGGCUGAGGUGGGAGGAUAACUUGAGCCCAGGAAGUCGAGGCUGCAGUGAGCCUAGAUCAUGCUAUUGCAAUCCAGCCUGGGCAACAAAGUGAGACCCUGUCUCAA
RNAcentral lists this non-coding RNA (148 nucleotides) under Chlorocebus sabaeus (green monkey). The record is from Rfam by way of RNAcentral. Lineage: Eukaryota; Metazoa; Chordata; Mammalia; Primates; Cercopithecidae.